AGUGAACGCUGGCGGUAGGCCUAACACAUGCAAGUCGAACGGCAGCACAGUAAGAGCUUGCUCUUACGGGUGGCGAGUGGCGUACGGGUGAGGAAUACAUCGUAAUCUACUUUUUCGUGGGGGAUAACGUAGGGAAACUUACUCUAAUACCGCAUACGACCUACGGGUGAAAGCAGUGGAUCUUCGGACCUUGCGCGAUUGAAUGAGCCGAUGUCGGAUUAGCUAGUUGGCGGGGUAAAGGCCCACCAAGGCGACGAUCCGUAGCUGGUCUGAGAGGAUGAUCAGCCACACUGGAACUGAGACACGGUCCAGACUCCUACGGGAGGCAGCAGUGGGGAAUAUUGGACAAUGGGCGCAAGCCUGAUCCAGCCAUACCGCGUGGGUGAAGAAGGCCUUCGGGUUGUAAAGCCCUUUUGUUGGGAAAGAAAAGCAGCAGGUUAAUACCCCGCUGUUCUGACGGUACCCAAAGAAUAAGCACCGGCUAACUUCGUG
RNAcentral lists this ribosomal RNA (492 nucleotides) under uncultured bacterium. Its description in RNAcentral is "partial 16S ribosomal RNA". It matches the Rfam family "Bacterial small subunit ribosomal RNA", at positions 29 to 507 of the family's 1533-position model. The record is from RNAcentral.